This is a non-coding RNA of Podarcis lilfordi (Lilford's wall lizard), 117 nucleotides long. NCBI's taxonomy places the organism in Eukaryota, Metazoa, Chordata, Lepidosauria, Squamata, Lacertidae. The record is from the annotation of a GenBank genome assembly.
UAUAGACCAGGCACAGGCAAACUUGGCCCUCCAGAUAUUUUGGGACCAGUAGUCAGGGAUGAUGGGAGUUGUAGUCCCAAAACAUCUGGAGGGCCGAGUUUGUCUAUGCCUGUUAUA